RNAcentral lists this ribosomal RNA (407 nucleotides) under Verrucomicrobiota bacterium. RNAcentral describes it as "Verrucomicrobia bacterium partial 16S ribosomal RNA". It matches the Rfam family "Bacterial small subunit ribosomal RNA", at positions 355 to 776 of the family's 1533-position model. Lineage: Bacteria; Pseudomonadati; Verrucomicrobiota. The record is from RNAcentral.
UGGGGAAUAUUGGACAAUGGAGGGAACUCUGAUCCAGCAAUUCUGUGUGUGUGAAGAAGGUUUUAGGACUGUAAAACACUUUUAGUAGGGAAGAAAAAAAUGACGGUACCUACAGAAGAAGCAACGGCUAAAUACGUGCCAGCAGCCGCGGUAAUACGUAUGGAGCAAGCGUUAUCCGGAUUCAUUGGGCGUAAAGCGCUCGUAGGCGGUCUGUUAGGUCGGCAAGUUAAAUCCGGGGGCUCAACCCCCGUCCGCUUCCGAUACCGGCAGACUUGAGUUUGGUAGGGGAAGGUGGAAUUCCUAGUGUAGCGGUGGAAUGCGCAGAUAUUAGGAAGAACACCGGUGGCGAAGGCGGCCUUCUGGGCCAUAACUGACGCUGAGGAGCGAAAGCUAGGGGAGCGAACAGG